CCAUCUCUUGUAGAACUAAGAAACCCGAGUCUUUGCUGUGACAAACAGAAUAAAAACUUGAGAUUUCUACAUACUGCAUCUUAUUCAUCUGAAAAAAUUAUUAAAUUACCGUCGAAAAUUGAAUGACAUGUUGUCUUGUCGCCAAUCCAUGUGUUUGGUGUUCCAUCCAAGGACCCUAGCCUGCAACACUUCAUUGAGUUCUUGCUUCAAAAUAGUGAUCUCCUUCAUCAUCUCUUUGUUGUGAGUGCUAUUUCCCACUUGUCGUACGUCUAGUGAUGGAUUAUAUACGAUAACCCUUUUCCUCAUCCGAUUUAC
This 315-nucleotide long non-coding RNA is filed under the name Triticum aestivum (bread wheat). RNAcentral's name for it is "long non-coding RNA (TAES_LNC003570)". Lineage: Eukaryota; Viridiplantae; Streptophyta; Magnoliopsida; Poales; Poaceae. The record is from RNAcentral.